This 1361-nucleotide non-coding RNA is filed under the name Rhodnius prolixus. RNAcentral's name for it is "Eukaryotic large subunit ribosomal RNA". It matches the Rfam family "Eukaryotic large subunit ribosomal RNA", at positions 426 to 1409 of the family's 3401-position model. Lineage: Eukaryota; Metazoa; Arthropoda; Insecta; Hemiptera; Reduviidae. The record is from Rfam by way of RNAcentral.
AUGGCCUCUCGCCCUAUUCAGUGUAACAGCUGUGAUAGUGGGUUUGGUCGCUCUCAUUUGAAUAGCAAGGGUAAUGGUGGACCGCACUUCUCCCUUAGUAGGACGUUGUGACCUGUCAAUAAAUAUUCUAAGUAUUUGGCUAUUAUGUCUGUUCUAAGUUAUACCGUUAAGGUAUUUUCUUUAAAACAGUUUUAGCCGUUUUAUAUACUGGAUAAAAUUGACAGUAACGAAUUAUGGUGUUGAGCCACAUGAAAUUAUAUAUAUGUAAAAAUAUAUAUAAUGGAAAGUGUCCUAAAAUAUGGCUGUUUGCAAGUGGGUUGGUAAAAAAUAGUUUCAAUUCGGAUUUUUAACCGGUUAACUAUUCCGCCUACUGUUGGUAAACUGUUCCUAGGACUGUGCUUAUUAUCACCGGUCGGCAGCGAUUCAGGUUCAGGCUCUUAUCCGACCCGUCUUGAAACACGGACCAAGGAGUUUAGCGUGUACGCAAGUCAUUGGGCCUAUAAACCCAUAGGCAAAAUGAAAGUAAAGAGUUGGAGUUUUGUAAAUUUUUACAUUCUCUACUUUAGGGAAGAUGGAAAAUAUUGUGCAGCAAUGUAUAAGAUUUUCCCGCAUUCCCAGGGCGCUUGAUUCUUGCUUUGCAAGUCAAUGCGCACCUAUAGCGUACACGCUGAUACCCGAAAGAUGGUGAACUAUGCCUGGCCAGGACGAAGCCAGGGGAAACCCUGGUGGAGGUCCGCAGCGAUUCUGACGUGCAAAUCGAUCGUCGGAGAAGGGUAUAGGGGCGAAAAGACCAAUCGAACCAUCUAGUAGCUGGUUCCCUCUGAAGUUUCCCUCAGGAUAGCUUGCACUCGGUUGAGACGAGUCUCAUCCGGUAGAGCGAAUGAUUAGAGGCAUUGGGGUCGAAAACGACCUCAACCUAUUCUCAAACUCCAAAAUAGAUGAGAUCCCCGGCUUUCUUAAAAGUGAAGCCGUGGGAAUAGGAUCAGAGUGCCAAGUGGGCCAAUUUUGGUAAGCAGAACUGGCGCUGUGGGAUGAACCAAACGCAGAGUUAAGGCGCCUAAAUUGACGCUCAUGUGAAACCAUGAAAGGCGUUGGUUGCUUAAGACAGCAGGACGGUGGCCAUGGAAGUUGGAAUCCGCUAAGGAGUGUGUAACAACUCACCUGCCGAAGCAACUAGCCCUGAAAAUGGAUGGCGCUGUAGCGUCGUGCCUAUACUCUGCCGUCAAUGACAAAGAUGAUUAAUAAGCUGUGUGUUAAUUAAUGUUGUAGUCUUGACUGCAGUAUUGUUAAUUACAAAGUUUAUUACUAUAUCAUCAUUAUGUCUUGAUGAGUAAGAGGGCCGCGGCGAUGAGCGCAGAAGG